AGUGAACGCUGGCGGCGUGCUUAACACAUGCAAGUCGAACGGUAACAGGUAGAAGCUUGCUUCUAUGCUGACGAGUGGCGGACGGGUGAGUAAUGUAUAGUUAAUCUGCCCUUUAGAGGGGGAUAACAGUUGGAAACGACUGCUAAUACCCCAUACUCCUUUCUACUUAAUGUAGAUUGGGAAAUGUUUUUUCGCUAAAGGAUGAGACUAUAUGGUAUCAGCUAGUUGGUGAGGUAAGAGCUCACCAAGGCAAUGACACCUAGCUGGUCUGAGAGGAUGAUCAGCCACACUGGAACUGAGACACGGUCCAGACUCCUACGGGAGGCAGCAGUGGGGAAUAUUGCACAAUGGAGGAAACUCUGAUGCAGCAACGCCGCGUGGAGGA
This 385-nucleotide ribosomal RNA is filed under the name uncultured bacterium. RNAcentral's name for it is "bacterial SSU rRNA". It matches the Rfam family "Bacterial small subunit ribosomal RNA", at positions 29 to 408 of the family's 1533-position model. The record is from RNAcentral.